Molecule: long non-coding RNA, 3539 nt
Organism: Hemicordylus capensis (graceful crag lizard)
Lineage: Eukaryota; Metazoa; Chordata; Lepidosauria; Squamata; Cordylidae
Exons: 2
Source: RefSeq, a predicted model, not a curated record
GGCAAGUGAACUGCUUGCAAAUUGGGAGAUUGAGCAGUGCAUGCCCUGAUGCCAGCCAUGUCCCCUGAUCGGGGAUGUGGUCUGCAGUAGGGGGUGUAGUCAGCAGCAGGGGGUUUAGAUGGCAGCAUCAUGGUAUCAUCUCAGGUUGUACCAGUGCUUGAGCUGGUACUGGAUGCUUUCUUAAUUUCUGUUUCCUGUUUGCGGUACAUGAUAAUACUGUUUCAUGUCCUCCAUACCCCUGAGUGGUGUGCAGUUCCAGCACAGCUUUAUGGAGACAAUUUCCUCUGAAAAGAAUGUCUGUACAGCACUCACUCAUGUACCACUGCACAUGGCCAACAUCCAGACUAAUGCUGCAAGGACACACCUGGGUUUCCUGUUGUGCAAGGGGUGACCUGUGAUUUCAUUCAUUCCACACUUCACUCUGCAACUGCCUGCUAUAAAAUGUGUUGCUGAAGGUUGGAGGAUCCCACAAGUGUUUGCGGAAGGGAGAAAUAGCUGAAAACCACACCUCACCUUGUGCAAUGGAAAACCCUGAUGCACUGGCACAGUGUUAGUCUGUCUGGUUGUUGGCCAGUAUGUGCAAUGGGGAACAUUUGCAAGGUUCCUGGUUAUGUGGAGAGAGCAUAUGCGUGUACAACCUGCAUAUGCAUAGGCUAUAUACAUAAGCUUGCUGGAAUGUGUGAAGGAUGGGAGUGGUGUCAACGGGCACAAUUCUGAUCUCCCCACAUGUUCAGUGAAUGUCUGAAAAGGUCUUACGAAAUUAUCGUGGGCUAUACUCUGUGAUAAUCUGUUAGGAACACUCAGGACUUUUGAGAGCAAAGCUUUAUAGAAGUCGUUUUCUUUAAAAAUUUAAUGGUGUUUUUUUUUUUAACAUUUUGUAUUUUACAACAUCUUUCCCAAUUCCCCACCUCCACCCCGCCCCGAACCCAACCUUCCCUUCCCCUUUUAGCACUGAUUGAGGGGUGAUGAGAAGAGAAAAGAAAGGAGAGAUGGAAAGAGAAAGAGGGAUAAAGAAAGCAGAAGGGGAGGGAGAGAAGAGGAGAAGGGAUACUCAUCAUUGUACUAGUAAGUUGGGUAGAUCAGAGAGGUUUCUAGUCUAAGAAUAGUUCAAGGAAGUUGUCCCAGAUUUCUGACCAUUUAUCCGAUUUAUUUACUUUUAAGAGGACCCAUUUUUCAUGUGCCACUAGCUCAAGCAGGCCCUGCACCGAAUCCUCACUCCUAGGGGGAUUGGGAGAUUUCCAUUGCCUCAAUAUUCACCUCUUGGCUACCAGCAAGCUCCGCCAUAGCCAUUGUUUAGAACUGGAUUUUAGUCCCCAGUCGGAUGGGAUAAACCCCAACACUACAUGCAGAUCCUUCAGUGCAAGAGAUGAAUUCAUCACUAAGUUAAUUUGCAUAAUAACCUCCCUCCAGAAGCCUUGCACUAUGGGAUGGUCUCAGAACGUAUGUGUUAAAUUGGCAUGCAAAGUUGUUUAUGACCCCCAUCCUACCCUCACCUUGGCCCCACUGCUGGCAGAGAAUCUGGCUUCCGCAGGCCUUUACCACCUUCCGUCUCCCCCUUUGCUUUGGACUCUGCAGAGCACUCUCCAGAUUAACCCCUACAACGUAUCUGCUUCCGUACUUUCUGUGUUGUGACACUGCAGUCCCUACACUGUCAGCAGGGUGCAGUACACAUUUCGGAUACCUUGUUUUGGAUUUUAUCACUGUGAUUUAGUGCUGUAAUGUAUGUCCGUUGCAAAAAUAGUAGCUGUAUUUUCCAUUGUAGAUUCUGGGGAGCCUUUUUCAAUUUGAUCCUGCCAAGCUGAAGCAUUUUAACACAGUUCUAGUGGGUAAUCUGGAAAGUGCUCCCGUGAGGGAAGAAGCCAUGUAGCUGCAGCAUGACAUAAUAAGGCAAUGUUCCUUUUCUCUCUCCUUCCCUGCUAGGCUGCUCAGAAAGGAAGGGGAGCCACAAGCACAUGGGGAAAUAUCUGCUUAUAAGAGAGCCAGCAUGGUGUAGUGGUUAGUGUGCUGGACUAGGACUGGGGAGACCCGAGUUCAAAUCCCCAUUCAGCCAUGAUACUAGCUGGGUGACUGUGGGCCAGUCACUUCUCUCAGCCUAACCUACUUCACAGGGUUGUUGUGAGGAGAAACUUAAGUAUGUAGUACACCGCUCUUGGCUCCUUGGAGGAAGAGCGGGAUAUAAAAUGUAAAAUAAAUUUUAAAAAAUUAAAAAAAAUACUCCUUGCCAUUUCCACCUUAUCAGGAGCUUUGGUUCUGGUAUGGAUGCUGGCUCUGUAUACAGGCUUUGAUAUGAUGCAUUCAGAUUUAUUCCAGUCCUGGAGGUCUACAAUUUUGCAUAUGCACAUGAUGGCUGAUGUUAUGUUGUGGCAGUUUGGGCAAUUCUUUCCUUUUAAAUGCUUGGGUCUGCUGUCUGGCAUGUUAUUAAUUACCAUACUGCCUGCAAAAGCAAUUUAUUCUGAAGAAAAGUUAUUGUAAACCCAGCUCACUUACUUUGUAGCUGGCCAGCUGUGUCUUGCGUAACCUUCCUUCAUCCUCGGAAAGUCAAUUGGCUACAGUAUAAAAAUUCACCUGUAUCGAAGCUCAUUUAUUCACUAGACAGUGACUGCUGCCUGAUAUUUCUCCUGAGUUUUUACUGCACAGUGUAGACUGUGUCUCUCCUGAAUUAAUAGCAUCCAUUAAUCAUACAGUACGUAAUGCUUCUUUGCUGCAUCAUAGACUACAAUUUGAAUUAUUCUUCUCUUACUAUGGUGUUGUCCUGCAAGCUGAGGGCAUUCCUAGGUCAAGUGGAUUGCCCAAGAUCUCAAAGAGAGCGAGAUGUGCCUAUAGCUCAGUGGUACAGAGCACCUGCUUUGCAUGCAGAAGAUCCAAGAUUCCAUCCUGAUACCUCCAGCCCAGUGGUGCACAAGGGAAGAGGCAGGGAAAGGAGAGGGAAGAGUGCAUGCUGAGGCAGGUGGUGGUGGGUGCCACUGUGAAGAAAUUAAGAGAGGAGAAAAGAACCAUCUCAAGGCAACUGUUUGUCAAGUGGCUGUGCUGCUCAAAUGAAGGCAGGGAGCAGCUGAACAAGGCAGGUGAGGCAGUGGGAGGAUCUUACCACCCCAUUACCAAUGCUUCAAUAAUCUGCUACUUGAAGUAACUGCCUAACCUCAACUCAUGGGAGGACUGCUCCUGGUGUAGCUAAAGUCAACAUCAGGAUAUUGGGCAAGAUAGAACAUUAGCCUUAAUGUCUGGAAAAAGAAAAAGAAAAAACAGGAAAAAGAGUGGAGAUCUUAAAAAUUAGACCAGUAGGAAAAGUUCUGAUUUUCCAUGACAUGGGUGAAACAAAGAAGAGGAAAUGACUUCUAUGCAGAAGAUCAGGAAUUCAAAAUCUGACUGUAUGAAAAUAUUGGUGAAGAACAAGAAAUAAAAAACAAGAAAAAUUGUAGGUAACCUGUUGUAAAGUAAUAAUAAUAUUAUUUGCAACGAAUAUAUUUGUAACCUUAAUAUAUUUUAUUUGUUGUACAGUAAUAAUAUUAUGAAGUAAUAAUAGAGUAUGACCAAUCCUA